RNA transcript from Python bivittatus (Burmese python), 3104 nucleotides. It is a transcript of the gene named stabilizer of axonemal microtubules 3, with no coding region annotated. The record is from RefSeq and is a predicted model, not a curated record. NCBI's taxonomy places the organism in Eukaryota, Metazoa, Chordata, Lepidosauria, Squamata, Pythonidae.
UGUCCAAAAAGCAGAGGCAAACAUGGCAGGCACUUUCUUCGCCUUUCCCUUCGGUUGGGAGGUGGAUUCCGGCGCGCUGGUGCCCUCAGAAGGCCGCAGACAAGACUGGAGGCUGACCAGCAGUGGAGUGGGACUCAACUAUAGCCCACCAUUGCCCUUCCCACCGCCCUAUGCACGAUCUACAAUCCAGGAACCGUUGCCACCUGCCUCCCAGAAAGUGUGGCGGGAUGAAGUCAUUCCCCGGCUGGCAACCACUUCACAGCUUGCCCAUGACACGAAAACUCAUGGUGGAGUGCUAGCUCAGCCUCGCUACUCUGUCUCUGCCCCAUACCUGAACGUCCACUACAAUAAAGAUCUGAGAGAGAAGAUGAAGCUUAGGGCAUGGAGGUUCCCCCUGACUAUGGGCAACCAGAAGAGUGAGAUCCAAGCAAAUUUUCGUGGCUGGCCCAAUCUGCCGCAGGAGCCCACCUUUCAUGCUGGGCCUCAGCCAUUCGGGUUGGCAGCGCAUCAUGCAGAUGGAGCAUCCAAGUCGGUGGUGGCCACCACACGGAACAAUGACCUCACUGGAAGACCCUUCUACAUCUGUGACAAGGCAGUUCUACGGCUCAACGAACCCUACUUAUCGACCACUGCCCAGGACUUCCGGGCCUUCACACAGAAAGAACUUCAAGGGUAUGCUCGGAAGGAAAUUCUCAGUGUGGAUCCUUACCCUCUAAUCCGUGUACCUGGGCCUAUGAGGGAUGCCCAGAUGUUUCCAAAGGCUACCCGGGUGCCCCACCUGGUACUGAACCCAGCUGUACCUCACCAUGGUUUAUUCAGCCUGGCCCAAGAAUCCUACCAACUUCCCCAUGACUACAAGCGAACCUGGGAUCGCUUCUGCCCUGUGCAGCAGCCACCCACUGUUUCCUGUCGGGUGCCUGUGGUGGAAAUCAUGUGUGUGCCACGCAUGUAUGAGACAGAAUAUAAGUGCUAUGGAAGUGGUAAACCUACGCCAAUGUGAGAUGGGCAGGGAUUCACAUUCACUUUUCCCCCUCUCCUACUCCAGCCAGAAAGGAGAAAAAAACAAAACGCUUCACCAUGUUUACCUUUGUGAUAAUUUUCUUGAAAUAACUACAACAAACGCUUUAGAUGCAUUCAGGAAACUGUUUUGUGUCAUCCUUUGCCAUGUGGUCUCAACAUUUUAGCUUCAGGAAGCUAUGAGCAAAACAAGCAUGAAAGUUGCAAGGCUUACACACUCACCUGGAAGAAUAUUAGGCCCAUAGAACUGAGCAAACCUGUACAGGAUUAAUCUGCAAGAAUAGAUUCAAGUAGUGCAUUAUAUAAAGGAAAGACAAUUGAAAAAAGUGUCCCCAGAGGGGACUUCAGGGUGAAAUAAAUUAAUCUGUCCUUCUUGUCUUCUUUAAAGUACUUUAAUCUCACUCUAUAUAUAACAACACUAGAACUACAAUGACACCGAAUACAAAAACAAAAAGUCAUAAGGGAAUAACAAACAAACAAACAAAAAGGACUAAUGCUUGCAAGGUGUGGCUAAUUUUUAAGGAUGGAUGGCCACAGUCAUUUGUUCCAGUUACCCACAAACAAGGCCCCCAGCAUCUUAGCUCCUUGCUGCAUGGUUCACUGGUCCCUCAAGCACAGGUCCUUGCAGAGUCAGCAGCCAGGUUUUCGCUACAUCGUGCCUGCUUCAGGCUCCAUCUUUUAUAGCCUGGACGAUGCAAUGUUGAGAAACACUGUACUGGAGUUUGCUUAUUGUGGCGUAGCAUGUUAUGUAAAAUCCCCCAACCUGUGGUUUAUUUAAACCACAUUUAAGCAAACAAGGACUUAGUGCAGUUAUUUGAACCCAACCUGAAUGUGAAAGAUAGACAAAUAUUAUUUUCAUGUUUAUAUUCCAUCCUUCCUGGUUUAUAUGAGAUUUUCCUAUUUUGUCCUCAAUAUCACCUGGGGAAUUGGUUAGGCAGAGAGACAGUGACUUGGGCUGCUUGAGUAACAGUGGCAUGUCUGAAGAAACAGGCAUAGGAUUGUACUGUUCUCCUAGGCAGAUGUUCUCCUAGCCAGAUCUCAGUGCUACUCAGGGUUCUCAGCAGGAGUGGGGAACCCAUGAUAUUUACCUUCAGCCCAUGGUCAAUGGUGAGGAAUGAUGGGACCCAAUAACAUCUGGAAGGCCAACCAGGUUUCCUACUCUGGGAUCAGAAUUUUGGAUUGAGAAUGAGCAGUUGCAGAUUCAGUUACGUUGCUAAACCCUGAUGGUCACAGGGUGACUAUCCUCCCCCAGGCAAUACACUUUAUAGGAUUGUGGUGUGGAUAAAGUGUGAGAGACAGAAGCAGUACUUAUGCUGUGAACUUCUGGGAUAUUACUGUAAUCACAUAAAUAAACAGGCUGCUGCAUCAUCUUUGUUUCUUGACUGCAUACUUUUAAAAAAGAUAAUUGCAAUAGUGACAAGUGAUGAGUCAGAAGUUCUAUUAAAAAUAUCCACAGUGAGCUGCCCUUGCUUAACGCUCUUGUAUAGCUUGGUUCUAACCAUUUCCUGGCACAAAGUGGCAUAUUGGCUGUAUGUGCUUUGGAAACACCUUUGAAAAGAAAAAGGAGUAUUGCAGGCCUCAAGUGCAAUUUUUAAAAAUGUGGCUUAACCAAGUCAGCCAGUUCACUGUUGCCUUCCAAGCAUACCGUUGUGAAUGUAACUCUUUAUCUUUCAUUAAACCUAAAGUCAGUGUAUUAAAGACCAGGAGUGGCCAGUGAAUAGCAUAAAACAUAAAGCUCGUCCAGUGAAAAAUAAACUUUCAGUUUUACUUAAUUGGUAUCCUGGCAUUAUGGACUUAGUUUGGCCCUGGUAUUAGAAUGCCUCACAGUUGAUUUUGGUGACGUGACAAGUUGGCAAAUUAUUAGUAUGUUGCAAUAUUUUUUUACUGAUGGGAGAGAGAACACAGGUUGUGGGAUUUUCUGCCUAAAGGGCCAGCAUAGCUUGGGUAGCCUUGGGGAUUAUGGAUCUUGAGUAUUUGUGGUGGUGGUAGGUGCAGCUUCAAAUGGCCUAAUCAACCCCCCCCCCCCCAGAUUACCUUUCAGGGUGACUGAUCCACAUGGUAACCUUAUCAUGGUUUUGUUCUUCAUG